GUGGGAUUUAGAGCAACAGCAGCACUGGCCGCCUCCGAAGUGCUCCGGGACCGUAUCAGAGUCUCCUCGCGAUCUCACCACCCCUAGUACUUUCAACUGCGGUUAAUGCCUCAAAAAACACCAGCGAAACGGAAAAAUCUAUCGAAUCUCAAAAUUUCGGGCCAGUGGAACCUGUGGCAGUGUAGUUAAUGUGUGUCAAACGCUGUACGGAGUUCAGUGAAGUGGGUGUGCACAACAAACAGGAUGACGGAAUUUUUCGGACCCUGGAGCGACAAGCAUGGGUCCGACGAGGAAGUGGAGGAGACGGUGGAGGAGGUCACCACCACCACCACCACUACCAGCAGCAACCGGCGACGGACCACAAAAUCGUCGAGCACAAAGACGACGACGAUGACGACGCCGGCCAAGUUGUUCGGGCGCGACAUCGGCUCCUACGAUGAGGUGGACGUGGAUGAGCUGCUGGCCAAGCUCACGGCCGAGGAGCUGUCCAUGCUGGCCAAGGAGGUUGACCCUGACGACAACUUCCUGCCGCCGUCUCAAAGGAACAACUAUGACUGUGAGAAGGACCCCACGGGCCCGCUGAACCGCAAGAAGCUGAUCGAGCACAUCAACAAGCAGGCGCUGGAGACGCCGGACCGGCCCGAGGUCAAGCCCUACGUCGCUGGAGUGGUCAGAGGGAAGAAGUGGAUCCCACCGCCGCCGCCCGAGCGGCAACGCGACGCCGACGAGCAGAUCUCCAUCGACCUCGGCGACGAGUACGAACAGGCUCUCGACACCGCCUCGCAGGAGGAGAUCAUCGACCUGGCCGCGAUCCUGGGCUUCCACUCGAUGAUGAACCAGGACCAGUACCACGCCUCGCUGCUGAACAAGGGGCAGCCCGUCGGCCUCGGCUGGGACGGCAUCACCAAGGCUUCCAAACAAAAGGUUUACCCCAUGGACCCGCCAAACGACACAGACGUGGACGAAACCCUCAAGAAAAUAGAAGCCAACGAACCCGCGCUCACUGAUCUCAAUUGGAAUAAUAUUAAGAAUAUAAGCGAAGAGAAGUUCGAGCGUCUGUUCGACAGUCUCAAGAAGAACUCCAACCUCGAAGUGUUGAGCCUAGUGAACGUGGGUCUCACGGAACACCUGGCUCUACGGCUCGCCGCGGCUCUAGAGGUCAACACGGCUCUACGGGUCGUCAACGUAGAGACCAACUUUAUCAGCCCGAGCGGGGUCAAGGCGUUGGUGCAGUCUCUCAACACUACCAAGACUGUUGAGGAGCUGAGGGCUUCUAAUCAGCGCGCCCAAGUGCUCGGUAACAAGAUAGAGAUGGAGAUAACCUCGCUCGUGGAACAGAACCCGACGCUGCUCCGUCUCGGGUUGCACCUCGAGUACAGCGACGCGCGCCACCGCAUCGCCACGCAUCUGCAGCGGAACAUCGACAGAAAUUGCCGAAUACAGAAGCGGGCUAGCGCGUCCUUGAGCCUGCGCCUACCUCGCGGCCGCCCGCCGCCCGUCGGCGUCGACAGCUCGGUCUUCGACAUGAUGAUGACCCCGCCCAGUGCAGAGGCCGUCACCCCUAUCGACGAGAACAAACCAAUAUUACCCCAGAAUGGACUCCCCAAAGAACCCUUCGUCCGCGCCGCCCCACCAGACAUAAACCCCAACCCCCACUCCCGCGAGGGAAGCGAAGAAUCGAAUAAAAAAUCAGCCUAAAAUCUUCGGUCUUUUCCCUGUGGAUUGUACGCCAACAACGGAGGAGCCAGAACAGCGCCUAGAUCCAUGAACACGCUUCAACGGUGGUCGCGUGCGCCGCAUGACGCGGUUCACUCGCAGCCGCAGCUACGUGGUCGGCUGGAUCUAGCGCGCGCGCGGCGCCCAGCGAGUGUGUGCGGAUGAGUGCGUCCUGACAGCCUGCGAGCGACGAAGCAUUUCUUUACUUUAUUGUAGAUGUCCCACGUUGGGCGCCAAACGCCAUUAUGUAUGUCCCACGGUGGGCGCCAAACGCCAUUAUGUAUGUCCCAUGGUGGGCGCCAAGAUUUUGCCGCUGUAUUUCUGUCAUUUAAGUUGGAGAUGUUUGUGGAAUGUAGGAAAUCUUAAAAGGUUUAUUGGCUCAUUGGUUGACACCUGUUUUCUUGCUGUAUGGAAAUGCUUCGUUGUUGGAACAGCUAUGGCUACUCGUUUGCGGGCUUGCGUUGUCGUAUGUUUAUGUAAUGGACUUACAUUAUUAUGAAUGAUAGAUAUAUUUGCAACUUGACCAGUUGUGAUAAACCAAGCUGUCUAAGCGCACAUCAAUAGAAAUGACUUCCAAAGUUGUUUUUCCCCUGUCCUUUUUAUUACUUUAUCUAUAAUGAUAAUGACGCAUUUUUUCAACUAAACCAUUACUGCCAUUUUGUAUUUUGACAAAAAAAGUGAGCCUAACAGGAUAUACGACAACGCAACUCCGUCACAACUUAUUUAAGGACAGUAUAUUUGACGAUAGAGUGUGUGCUACACAAGAGUUGUGCUUUAAAUUUUACUUCUUAUUUAUUAAGAAAAUCUUUUAUACAACAACAAUUUUCAUAGUGGCAGGACCAUCACAGAAAUUCAAUGUAUUCGACUAUGAAAUUUACAGUUUCUAAUCAUGAUUCUUGUUGCUGAAUCUUUUAGCAUAAACUUUAAUAUUAAUUUUUACUCUAGUGUGCUAAUAAUCGUAUUAAUUAAUUUUUAUAUUGAUAAAUAAAUGUAAUAUAUUAUACCUUACAUGUGCACAUUCCAUUAAUGCAAAACAUGGUUUUACAUUGUGACCUUCCCAGAGUUAGCGUUAGUCCCUUACGAUUAUUCUGAUCUUGUAAUCCAUAUAAGUGAUUAUUUUCGUCUUCGACAGACGUAUCUAUAUAAUCCAGAGUCCUGUAUUUGGGCACUAGGUUCGAGCUGAGUCUAGUUAACUAUUAACUCCACCAUGUUCUGCGUCAAUGGGUAUUUAAAGUCUUAAAUUUUCAAAUAAGCACUAGGUUUGCUUGCAGUCAGCGUAGCAAAGUGGAUUUUAUAUCUAUAGCUUCAGGAUUGAGCUAAAGCAAGCUUUCAGUGUCGCUGUAUGGAUACGAUAGUGUAACCUUUUGCUUCUUUGAAACAACUAUUUUAUAAAGUAAAUUGCUUAACUUUAAAAACGUAACUUUAUGUAUAUUUGUUAGAGAACUGGGGGAACUAUGUGUCCAUAAUAUUGUGAUAAAACGUCAAGUUUUUCCAUUAAAAACUGCUUUGAUUUUUUGUCUUUAGUUUCAAAUGAAGAGAGAUUAUUUGUUAGAUUUUUAAUGUGUAUCUUUAUUACGAAAUAUAUUUUAAAAAUUAAAUUAAAAAUGAGUUAAUAUGAAUAGAUUUAUUAUUAUAUAUGUUUUGGUAUAACGGUCCAGGAACAUUUGAAAUUCAACGAAAACCUGACUAGUAGAGUCGACCAGUUUGUAGUUUGUGACAAAUGUAAAAAAAACAAAUAAACAUUACGUAAAUAAUA
RNA transcript from Plutella xylostella (diamondback moth), 3472 nucleotides. It is a transcript of the gene named tropomodulin, with no coding region annotated. NCBI's taxonomy places the organism in Eukaryota, Metazoa, Arthropoda, Insecta, Lepidoptera, Plutellidae. The record is from RefSeq and is a predicted model, not a curated record.